GAUGAACGCUGGCGGCGUGCCUAAUACAUGCAAGUCGAGCGAACAGACGAGGAGCUUGCUCCUCUGACGUUAGCGGCAGACGGGUGAGUAACACGUGGAUAACCUACCUAUAAGACUGGGAUAACUUCGGGAAACCGGAGCUAAUACCGGAUAAUAUAUUGAACCGCAUGGUUCAAUAGUGAAAGACGGUUUUGAUGUCACUUAUAGAUGGAUCCGCGCCGCAUUAGCUAGUUGGUAAGGUAACGGCUUACCAAGGCAACGAUGCGUAGCCGACCUGAGAGGGUGAUCGGCCACACUGGAACUGAGACACGGUCCAGACUCCUACGGGAGGCAGCAGUAGGGAAUCUUCCGCAAUGGGCGAAAGCUUGACGGAGCAACGCCGCGUGAGUGAUGAAGGUCUUCGGAUCGUAAAACUCUGUUAUUAGGGAAGAACAAAUGUGUAAGUAACUAUGCACGUCUUGACGGUACCUAAUCAGAAAGCCACGGCUAACUACGUG
Molecule: ribosomal RNA, 497 nt
Filed under: uncultured bacterium
Lineage: Bacteria
Description: partial 16S ribosomal RNA
Rfam family: Bacterial small subunit ribosomal RNA
Source: RNAcentral